RNAcentral lists this small nucleolar RNA (107 nucleotides) under Tetranychus urticae (two-spotted spider mite). Its description in RNAcentral is "snoRNA tetur450g00011". The record is from RNAcentral. Lineage: Eukaryota; Metazoa; Arthropoda; Arachnida; Trombidiformes; Tetranychidae.
AGAGCUCUUUAUGGAGCGCUCUUAGUGGAGCGCUCUUAAUGGAGGGCUCUUUAUGGAGCGCUCUUAAUGGAGCGCUCUUUAUGGAGCGCUCGUUAAGAGCAAAGCAA